RNAcentral lists this ribosomal RNA (739 nucleotides) under Microbacterium barkeri. RNAcentral describes it as "bacterial SSU rRNA". It matches the Rfam family "Bacterial small subunit ribosomal RNA", at positions 547 to 1285 of the family's 1533-position model. The record is from RNAcentral. Lineage: Bacteria; Bacillati; Actinomycetota; Actinomycetes; Micrococcales; Microbacteriaceae.
GGAAUUAUUGGGCGUAAAGAGCUCGUAGGCGGUUUGUCGCGUCUGCUGUGAAAACCCGAGGCUCAACCUCGGGCCUGCAGUGGGUACGGGCAGACUAGAGUGCGGUAGGGGAGAUUGGAAUUCCUGGUGUAGCGGUGGAAUGCGCAGAUAUCAGGAGGAACACCGAUGGCGAAGGCAGAUCUCUGGGCCGUUACUGACGCUGAGGAGCGAAAGGGUGGGGAGCAAACAGGCUUAGAUACCCUGGUAGUCCACCCCGUAAACGUUGGGAACUAGUUGUGGGGGCCUUUCCACGGUCUCCGUGACGCAGCUAACGCAUUAAGUUCCCCGCCUGGGGAGUACGGCCGCAAGGCUAAAACUCAAAGGAAUUGACGGGGACCCGCACAAGCGGCGGAGCAUGCGGAUUAAUUCGAUGCAACGCGAAGAACCUUACCAAGGCUUGACAUACACCGGAAACGUCUGGAAACAGUCGCCCCUUUUUGGUCGGUGUACAGGUGGUGCAUGGUUGUCGUCAGCUCGUGUCGUGAGAUGUUGGGUUAAGUCCCGCAACGAGCGCAACCCUCGUUCUAUGUUGCCAGCACGUUAUGGUGGGAACUCAUGGGAUACUGCCGGGGUCAACUCGGAGGAAGGUGGGGAUGACGUCAAAUCAUCAUGCCCCUUAUGUCUUGGGCUUCACGCAUGCUACAAUGGCCGGUACAAAGGGUUGCAAUACCGUGAGGUGGAGCGAAUCCCAAAAAGCUGG